RNAcentral lists this ribosomal RNA (254 nucleotides) under uncultured bacterium. Its description in RNAcentral is "partial 16S ribosomal RNA". It matches the Rfam family "Bacterial small subunit ribosomal RNA", at positions 524 to 776 of the family's 1533-position model. The record is from RNAcentral.
UACGGGGGGAGCAAGCGUUGUUCGGAUUUACUGGGCGUAAAGGGCGCGUAGGCGGCCACUGCAAGUCAGUUGUGAAAUCUCCGGGCUUAACUCGGAAAGGUCAACUGAUACUGCAGGGCUAGAGUGCAGAAGGGGCAACUGGAAUUCUCGGUGUAGCGGUGAAAUGCGUAGAUAUCGAGAGGAACACCUGCGGCGAAGGCGGGUUGCUGGGCUGACACUGACGCUGAGGUGCGAAAGCGUGGGGAGCAAACAGG